Molecule: transfer RNA, 64 nt
Filed under: Metaplax longipes
Lineage: Eukaryota; Metazoa; Arthropoda; Malacostraca; Decapoda; Varunidae
Description: tRNA-His
Source: RNAcentral
ACUUAAAUAGUUUAUAAAAAAUAUAAGCUUGUGGCGCUUAAGAUGUAAUCUUAUACUUUAAGUA